This is a long non-coding RNA of Oncorhynchus kisutch (coho salmon), 268 nucleotides long. RefSeq lists it as uncharacterized. NCBI's taxonomy places the organism in Eukaryota, Metazoa, Chordata, Actinopteri, Salmoniformes, Salmonidae. The record is from RefSeq and is a predicted model, not a curated record. The transcript is spliced from 4 exons.
GUGGGCAAUGAGAAGCCAUGAGAAUCGGUCUGGAGGUUUUACUGAGGACACUGUAGUCUCCUCAUUUGGGAGUUGCAGUCUGACAAUCACCAUGACAGUGAAUUAGCAUACUGGCGCAGUGUCAAAUUGGAGCCGCCAGUGAGCCAUGUAUGGGAUCUUGACCUUCGACCUCAGGCCCAUCCCUCCCCCCAUGUCAUCGGUGGCCAGCCAGCAUACAAGUUUUUGACCCUUGCCUGUCCAUGUACCUGCCUGCCUGACCACUCUGCAU